GCCUGGGUGGCUCAGUCAGUUAAGCAUCAGACUUUGGCUCAGGUCAUGAUCUCGUGGUUUGUGGGUUUGAGCCCCACCUUGGGCU
This 85-nucleotide transfer RNA is filed under the name Felis catus (domestic cat). It matches the Rfam family "tRNA". Rfam says of the family: Transfer RNA (tRNA) molecules are approximately 80 nucleotides in length. Their secondary structure includes four short double-helical elements and three loops (D, anti-codon, and T loops). Lineage: Eukaryota; Metazoa; Chordata; Mammalia; Carnivora; Felidae. The record is from Rfam by way of RNAcentral. RNAcentral also lists the same sequence under 5 other names.